RNAcentral lists this transfer RNA (65 nucleotides) under Trepobates sp. XD-2019. Its description in RNAcentral is "tRNA-Asp". The record is from RNAcentral. Lineage: Eukaryota; Metazoa; Arthropoda; Insecta; Hemiptera; Gerridae.
AAAAAAUUAGUUUAUAAAAAACAUAAGUUUGUCAAACUUAAAAAAUUAAAUAUUAAUAUUUUUUU